RNAcentral lists this long non-coding RNA (657 nucleotides) under Vulpes vulpes (red fox). Its description in RNAcentral is "lncRNA (ENSVVUG00000019743.1)". Lineage: Eukaryota; Metazoa; Chordata; Mammalia; Carnivora; Canidae. The record is from RNAcentral.
UUUAAUCAGUAAAAGGGGUUCAUAAAUGAAUGAUCCCUCUUUUAUACAUGUUUGGUGUAUAGUUAGGUGACUGAGCCCUGAGUCUUGAGGAUGGAUUAGAUUUGAAAGGCUAGAGAGAAGGAAAGAAAAGAUAUUUCAUUAAGUGAAGAGCUAAGUAAUCUACAUCAUUCUAGAAUACUUGAUAAUAACUACUCCCCUGACUGAGCGCAACAUCCAAAAGGACAAGCAUUGAGGCAUAGAAAGUAGUCUUGAAUUCUCCAUCUACAUCAAUAGUACCAUCUAGCAGCUAUCUAUAUAAGAAUUAUGUGGCUGAAAUCAACUGUUCACUUUGCUAGGAUUGCUGCUCAGUCAAGUGGCUAUUAGCAGAAAUGAGUUACCUGCUACUGCUUCUACUGAAAAGGACAUCUUGAUUAUGGUGCCUGCCCUGACUGCCCAAAUCCUGCAGGAGAGGUCAUGGAGACCAGAAGUUGCAUGUUCAGUCCCUGAGCCCUGCAGGGCUAGAAGUGGUGUGCAACCCCUAAGCACACUGUCGGAGGAAUGGUGCCAGCUCUGUACUCCACCCCUCCAUUGGAGACAUAAGAAAAAGAAGCACCAAGCCCUUUGCUGCAUGCUACCAUAGCUCUCACUUCUGAGUCCUGACUCUGAGCUAGGGAAAAU